GCGGAGGAAAAGAAACCAACAGGGAUUGCCCUAGUAACGGCGAGUGAAGCGGCAACAGCUCAAAUUUGAAAGCUGGCUUAGGCCCGCAUUGUAAUUUGCAGAGGAUGUUUCUGGCGAGGUGCCUUCCGAGUUCCCUGGAACGGGACGCCAUAGAGGGUGAGAGCCCCGUAUGGAUGGACACCAAACCUAUGUGAAACUCCUUCAACGAGUCGAGUAGUUUGGGAAUGCUGCUCUAAAUGGGAGGUAAAUCUCUUCUAAAGCUAAAUACCGGCCAGAGACCGAUAGCGCACAAGUAGAGUGAUCGAAAGAUGAAAAGCACCUUGAAAAGGGGGUUAAACAGUACGUGAAAUUGUUGAAAGGGAAGCGCUUGUGACCAGACUUGCGCCGGGCAGCUCAUCAGGGGUUCUCCCCUGUGCACUCUGCCCGGCUCAGGCCAGCAUCGGUUCUUGUGGGAGGAUAAGAACGGUAGGAACGUGGCCCCCCUCCGGGGGGGUGUUAUAGCCUGCCGUACGAUACUCCCGUGGGGACCGAGGUUCGCGCUCCGCAAGGAUGCUGGCGUAAUGGUCAUCAGCGACCCGUCUU
This 582-nucleotide ribosomal RNA is filed under the name Cytospora sophorae. Its description in RNAcentral is "eukaryotic LSU rRNA". It matches the Rfam family "Eukaryotic large subunit ribosomal RNA", at positions 50 to 655 of the family's 3401-position model. The record is from RNAcentral. Lineage: Eukaryota; Fungi; Ascomycota; Sordariomycetes; Diaporthales; Cytosporaceae.